CGCGCCCCCCGUUUUUCCCGGUAGGAAGUGGCGUUUCUAAGGACAGGAGGCGUUCGUUCGGCCGGAAGUAGUGCCGUCAGGGAUGUCAAGCGGAGACUUGGUGCGACGUUCGGGACAGGGCUGGUGGCGCUAGGCGUUAGCGGACUCGCGUGGCUGGGCGUGAGGCGAGAAAGCAGAAAGGAUCCUCCACGCUUAUAUAAGAUUGUUCGUAUGACUCAGUCUCUGAGACUACAUCAAGAGUUCCAACAUCUAGCAGCUCUAUCACCAGGACAGACCCUCUAAAACUAAUCCUAACAAGUACAUCUAAAGGUUAAGGCUACUUUUCCAGAUAGUCCAACCACUAAGUCAGGAGUUUCCAAGGGCAUUUACCUCACCUGUGGAAAACUUCAGAUCCUUGCCUACCAGAUGUUCUUGACAACUCAUCCCAUCAUCCCCAUUCUACAUAAGUUGCCAUACCAGCGGACAACCAAGACAACUGCUGAGCUUUUCAUUACCAAGUAGAUUUAAUGUCACUGCCAACAAAACAGAGUGGACAAAGUGUCUCUUGAUAAUAUCACUACCCGUUGAAACUACGCCAAGAAAAUCAGCAUGCCUAGUUGAGGACCCUUCUCUUCUUGGGUAGUCAGGAUUUAAAGGAGAUACUCUGACGUGUGCCACUGAACAGACUGGUGGGAUUCAACCAUCAGAAAGCAAGAAAUUAGCUACCCCCACUAAAAUCUUCUCAAGUAUGGUCUUCUCAACAUUCAUUUCUACAGCAGUAGUUAAAGUGAGUAAUUACAUGAGCGAAAAUGAUAGGAAUGUGGAUUUCUCUCUCAGAUUUUAUAUGGAUAUACCUUUUGGGGGUUCCUGUUUUUUAUGGGGAGUGCAUUUUCAAAAUUAGCCUAUGAAACUCUAAACCUAUUAAGGUAUCUGCAUUUACAACUUGAACAUUCUAUAUCAUAGGCUUUUACCAGGCUUUCUGUGGCUAAAUUGGCCCAUAAUAUCAUCCCUUGAAUUAUAACAGUCCGCUAUUCUGUAGGGAGUAUGUUUCCUGGAUCUUGGCACUAAGACUUUUGUCAUGCGCAAAUAAAAUAUAUUCAAAAAAGAUAAAAAGGAUUAAGAGAGAAUAUAGUUUCACUAUCAACUGGUAAAAAGAUUAAAACAUUUCAACUGUCUUACAUUUCAUGGAGCAGAAAUUUAUGCCCUUUCCACAUCCAUUGCAAACAUUUCAAAAACCCUUCUAAUAUUAAUGAAUCAGCCUAACACAUCUGAAAUUAAGCAUUUUAGCAGCAUUUUUUAAGUAGAUUAACUUCUGAUUUUCUUCUGACUGAAUAAGGAAAAGUAUAUGCCUUUGAGUACAUUGCCAAUGAUUCUACUAUGAGCCAAAACAUAGAAAUCAACAUAAAAUAAAAUGCAUGAGACCAUUAAAUUUUUUGACAUAUCCUACAAUAAAAAGUGAAAUUUGUGUGUCAUUGUGGAUAACUGGGCAUCUAAAGGGAAUCAUAAAACAUAUUGUUAAAAAUGUAUCAUAUAUUCUCUUUAUUUUAGUUUUGCUUUUUCUUGUUCUCCAUAAUUGCUAUGUACAAGGUUGAAUAAAAAAAAAAGCAGUGAUACAAUCACAAAUUUUGUAAAUAUAUAAAAGCUUAAGGAGAACGAACAAUGUUUAUAACCUAAUAAGUAUUUCUACUGAGCUUUAGUUAUCCUGUCUUAAGGGGGAAAAUAAGAGUAUUAUACUAAGUAGGGGGAAAAAAAAAACUUGUUCAUGGUAAUUAUUGACCUGGACCUAUAUCAUACUGUUAGUAUAACUGAAUGUAUCAGAAACUGUUCCUAUAUAGAUGUUCUGUGAAAUUGGUUUUUUAAACGUUACAAAAUCUGUUUUCCUUUUUUUUAGGGGUAAAGAUUGGAGGAGGUAGGAAAGAAAUCUGAAAAUUAAAAUGUGUUGUUUAUGUAUCCAUAACAUGUUCGUGUGUGUGUGUGUGUGUGUGUGUGUGUAAAAGUGCCUUGCUUGUGAAUGCAUUUUUGCUAUUCACUCCAAAAAGGAAGCCUUUUUCCACCUUGGCAGCUGAAUAAACAAACAUCUUUGUACAUGCGGAA
Marmota flaviventris (yellow-bellied marmot) is the source of this 2073-nucleotide non-coding RNA. Lineage: Eukaryota; Metazoa; Chordata; Mammalia; Rodentia; Sciuridae. The record is from RefSeq and is a predicted model, not a curated record.